UGAGACAGGUGCUGCAUGGCUGUCGUCAGCUCGUGUUGUGAAAUGUUGGGUUAAGUCCCGCAACGAGCGCAACCCUUAUCCUUUGUUGCCAGCGAUUCGGUCGGGAACUCAAAGGAGACUGCCGGUGAUAAACCGGAGGAAGGUGGGGAUGACGUCAAGUCAUCAUGGCCCUUACGAGUAGGGCUACACACGUGCUACAAUGGCGUAUACAAAGAGAAGCGACCUCGCGAGAGUAAGCGGACCUCAUAAAGUACGUCGUAGUCCGGAUUGGAGUCUGCAACUCGACUCCAUGAAGUCGGAAUCGCUAGUAAUCGUAGAUCAGAAUGCUACGGUGAAUACGUUCCCGGGCCUUGUACACACCGCCCGUCACACCAUGGGAGUGGGUUGCAAAAGAAGUAGGUAGCUUAACCUUCGGGAGGGCGCUUACCACUUUGUGAUUCAUGACUGGGGUGAAGUCGUAACAAGGUAACCGUAGGGGAACCUGCGGUUGGAUCACCUCCUUACCAAAAAGA
This 512-nucleotide ribosomal RNA is filed under the name Pectobacterium polaris. Its description in RNAcentral is "bacterial SSU rRNA". It matches the Rfam family "Bacterial small subunit ribosomal RNA", at positions 1030 to 1533 of the family's 1533-position model. Lineage: Bacteria; Pseudomonadati; Pseudomonadota; Gammaproteobacteria; Enterobacterales; Pectobacteriaceae. The record is from RNAcentral.